GACGGCGCAGCUCACUGGCGCGAGCGCAGGGCUUCCUGCCCUGCUGUUGCUGGUUCGAAUCCAGCCGCCGUCA
This 73-nucleotide transfer RNA is filed under the name Globisporangium irregulare DAOM BR486. RNAcentral describes it as "tRNA-Gly for anticodon UCC". It matches the Rfam family "tRNA". Rfam says of the family: Transfer RNA (tRNA) molecules are approximately 80 nucleotides in length. Their secondary structure includes four short double-helical elements and three loops (D, anti-codon, and T loops). The record is from RNAcentral. Lineage: Eukaryota; Oomycota; Peronosporomycetes; Pythiales; Pythiaceae.